This 327-nucleotide ribosomal RNA is filed under the name uncultured eukaryote. RNAcentral describes it as "partial 18S ribosomal RNA". It matches the Rfam family "Eukaryotic small subunit ribosomal RNA", at positions 1470 to 1796 of the family's 1831-position model. The record is from RNAcentral.
CCCUUAGAUGUUCUGGGCCGCACGCGCGCUACACUGACGAAUGCAACGAGCUUAUAACCUUGGCCGAAAGGUCUGGGUAAUCUCCAAAUUUCGUCGUGAUGGGGAUAGAUUAUUGCAAUUAUUAAUCUUCAACGAGGAAUGCCUUGUAAGCGCAAGUCAUCAGCUUGCGUUGAUUACGUCCCUGCCCUUUGUACACACCGCCCGUCGCUCCUACCGAUUGAAUGGUCCGGUGAAGCGUUCGGACCGUGGCCUUUGGACGGUUCGCCGUCUGUUGGCUGCGGGAAGUUCGUUAAACCUUAUCAUUUAGAGGAAGGAGAAGUCGUANCA